Molecule: ribosomal RNA, 253 nt
Filed under: uncultured bacterium
Lineage: Bacteria
Description: partial 16S ribosomal RNA
Rfam family: Bacterial small subunit ribosomal RNA
Source: RNAcentral
UACGGCGGGCGCAAACGGUGUUCGGAAUCACUGGGCGUAAAGCGCGUGGAGGCGGCUUUGCAAGUCGGGUGUGAAAUCCCGAGGCUCAACCUCGGAACUGCACUCGAUACUGCUUGGCUCGAGUCCCGGAGAGGGUGGCGGAAUUCCCGGUGUAGGGGUGAAAUCCGUAGAUAUCGGGAGGAACAUCAGUGGCGAAGGCGGCCACCUGGACGGUGACUGACGAUGAGACGCGAAAGCGUGGGGAGCAAACAGG